UAUCUCUGUAGAGUCUGCAUAUCAAUAAGCGGAGGAAAAGAAACUAACUAGGAUUCCCUCAGUAACGGCGAGUGAAGCGGGAAGAGCUCAAAUUUGAAAUCUUCAAGGUUCUACCUUGACGAAUUGUAGUUUAAAGAAGUGUUUUCUGUUGGAGUUUUGGUAAAAGUUCUUUGGAAUAGGACAUCAUAGAGGGUGAGAAUCCCGUAUUUGACCAUUAUUUUCAGCUGUGUGAUACACUUUCAAAGAGUCGGAUUGUUUGGGAAUGCAGUCCAAAAUGGGUGGUAAAUUUCAUCUAAAGCUAAAUAUUGGCGAGAGACCGAUAGCGAACAAGUACCGUGAGGGAAAGAUGAAAAGAACUUUGAAAAGAGAGUUAAACAGUACGUGAAAUUGUCAAAAGGGAAGCGUUUGACACCAGUGUUGUUUUCUCGAAAAUCAAUUAAAAAAAGUUGGAUUUUGUAUUGUUAAGACCUUAUCAGCUUACUGUACUCUUUUCUUGCUUUUUUUAAUGCACUUUUCGUUUAACAAGUCAACAUCAAUUUCUUUUGUUGUAAAAGAGUCAUUGGAAGGUGGCUUUCACUUCGGUGAAAGUGUUUAUAGCCUUUGGCUUCUGCAAUCGGAGAGAUUGAGGUCUGCAGCGUAGAUCCUUCGGGGCUAGAUACGUAGAUGCUAAGUUAUAGUUUUUUAUAGACAACUUGUUGACUAUAAUUAAUCAUGUAGCUUACUCGUUUGCGCUAUUUUACCUACGCUUAGGAUGUUGACGAGACUGUCGAUCUC
RNAcentral lists this ribosomal RNA (774 nucleotides) under uncultured Neocallimastigales. RNAcentral describes it as "partial large subunit ribosomal RNA". It matches the Rfam family "Eukaryotic large subunit ribosomal RNA", at positions 24 to 646 of the family's 3401-position model. The record is from RNAcentral. Lineage: Eukaryota; Fungi; Neocallimastigomycota; Neocallimastigomycetes; Neocallimastigales.